CUUAGUGGUCUAUUUUUUACAGGCGUCUGUGCACCGUGGGUCAAUGCAAAGGGAGCUGUGGUGGGGUUCGUACUGUCGUUCAUCUUCAGUGUUUGGGUAGUUAUUGGUAAAUUUGUGCGAGGAGGGGGGUCGCCUCCCCGCCUGCCACUGUCUACUGAGGGCUGCCCGGAGAACCUUGCCCUCUUCCUUAACGCCACCGUCACCGGCCUCGUCAACAAUACCAUUCGUCUUGCUGAUACUACGUUGACGACCACCGCUCUGCCUGAUGCUGUGCCGGCCAACACCACAGCUGUCGAUGGAACUCAAUCUAACACUAUCUACGAGAUCUCCUACUGCUACACGGGAAUAAUUGCUGUGGCGCUGACAUUUAUAAUCAGCUC
Molecule: long non-coding RNA, 380 nt
Organism: Homarus americanus (American lobster)
Lineage: Eukaryota; Metazoa; Arthropoda; Malacostraca; Decapoda; Nephropidae
Exons: 3
Source: RefSeq, a predicted model, not a curated record